RNAcentral lists this ribosomal RNA (253 nucleotides) under uncultured bacterium. RNAcentral describes it as "partial 16S ribosomal RNA". It matches the Rfam family "Bacterial small subunit ribosomal RNA", at positions 524 to 776 of the family's 1533-position model. The record is from RNAcentral.
GACGUAGGGGACGAGCGUUGUCCGGAUUCAUUGGGCGUAAAGCGCGCGUAGGCGGCCACGCAAGUCGGGUGUGAAAUCUCGGAGCUUAACUCCGAAACUGCAUUCGAUACUGCCGUGCUUGAGGACUGGAGAGGAGACUGGAAUUUACGGUGUAGCGGUGAAAUGCGUAGAUAUCGUAAGGAAGACCAGUGGCGAAGGCGGGUCUCUGGACAGUUCCUGACGCUGAGGCACGAAGGUCAGGGGAGCAAACGGG